Molecule: ribosomal RNA, 497 nt
Filed under: uncultured bacterium
Lineage: Bacteria
Description: partial 16S ribosomal RNA
Rfam family: Bacterial small subunit ribosomal RNA
Source: RNAcentral
GAUGAACGCUGGCGGCGUGCCUAAUACAUGCAAGUCGAGCGAACGGACGAGAAGCUUGCUUCUCUGAUGUUAGCGGCGGACGGGUGAGUAACACGUGGAUAACCUACCUAUAAGACUGGGAUAACUUCGGGAAACCGUAGCUAAUACCGGAUAAUAUUUUGAACCGCAUGGUUCAAAAGUGAAAGACGGUCUUGCUGUCACUUAUAGAUGGAUCCGCGCUGCAUUAGCUAGUUGGUAAGGUAACGGCUUACCAAGGCAACAAUGCAUAGCCGACCUGAGAGGGUGAUCGGCCACACUGGAACUGGGACACGGUCCAGACUCCUACGGGAGGCAGCAUUAGGGAAUCUUCCGCAAUGGGCGAAAUCCUGACGGGGCAACGCCGCGUGAGUGAUGAAGGUCUUCGGAUCGUAAAACUCUGUUAUUAGGGAAGAACAUAUGUGUAAGUAACUGUGCACAUCUUGACGGUACCUAAUCAGAAAGCCACGGCUAACUACGUG